UACCUGCAGCUCGAGUGGUAACCGCUAUUAUUGGGCCUAAAGCGUCCGUAGCCGGUUUGGUAAAUAUCUGGGUAAAUCGUGAGGCUUAACUUCACGAAUUUCGGAUAGACUGCCAGACUUGGGAUCGGGGGAGGUCAGAGGUACUCCAGGGGUAGCGGUGAAAUGUUGUAAUCCUUGGAGGACCACCGGUAGCGAAGGCGUCUGACUAGAACGAGUCCGACGGCGAGGGACGAAGCCCUGGGGCGCAAACCGGAUUAGAUACCCGGGUAGUCCAGGGUGUAAACGAUGUGGGCUUUGUAUUGGAGGUCCCACGUGGGCGUCCAGUGCAGAAGAGAAGUUGUUAAGCCCACCGCCUGGGAAGUACGGUCGCAAGGCUGAAACUUAAAGGAAUUGGCGGGGGAGCACAGCAACGGGAGGAGCGUGCGGUUU
This 429-nucleotide ribosomal RNA is filed under the name uncultured archaeon. Its description in RNAcentral is "bacterial SSU rRNA". It matches the Rfam family "Archaeal small subunit ribosomal RNA", at positions 474 to 903 of the family's 1478-position model. The record is from RNAcentral.